This 468-nucleotide ribosomal RNA is filed under the name uncultured bacterium. Its description in RNAcentral is "partial 16S ribosomal RNA". It matches the Rfam family "Bacterial small subunit ribosomal RNA", at positions 28 to 507 of the family's 1533-position model. The record is from RNAcentral.
GACGAACGCUGGCGGCGUGCUUAACACAUGCAAGUCGAACGGAAAGGCCCUGCUUUUGUGGGGUGCUCGAGUGGCGAACGGGUGAGUAACACGUGAGUAACCUGCCCUUGACUUUGGGAUAACUUCAGGAAACUGGGGCUAAUACCGGAUAGGAGCUCCUGCUGCAUGGUGGGGGUUGGAAAGUUUCGGCGGUUGGGGAUGGACUCGCGGCUUAUCAGCUUGUUGGUGGGGUAGUGGCUUACCAAGGCUUUGACGGGUAGCCGGCCUGAGAGGGUGACCGGCCACAUUGGGACUGAGAGACGGACCAGACUCCUACGGGAGGCAGCAGUGGGGAAUAUUGCACAAUGGGCGGAAGCCUGAUGCAGCAACGCCGCGUGCGGGAUGACGGCCUUCGGGUUGUAAACCGCUUUCGCCUGUGACGAAGCGUGAGUGGCGGUAAUGGGUAAAGAAGCACCGGCUAACUACGUG